Molecule: unclassified non-coding RNA, 341 nt
Filed under: Hevea brasiliensis (rubber tree)
Lineage: Eukaryota; Viridiplantae; Streptophyta; Magnoliopsida; Malpighiales; Euphorbiaceae
Source: RNAcentral
GUUGGAUGUUGCGGUAUCGCCAAUCCUAGAUUGAUGGAUAUCAGACCUUGAAGACAGUGUCCUACUAUUGCCAACAUGUUCCUUGGUCUUUUCUUCUCCAGAACCUCCUUCCACAGACGACUGUUCAGACGGCCCAUUUUCUCCAACAAGAUUCGCAGUAUCUCUUGUUUUAUCAUUAAUAGAUGCUUGUACUUUUUCAAUACCCGCUGAAACCAUACAGUCGUCUUUCCCGUUAUUCCAACUAUCAAGUAAUGUUUUAGCUCUCUCUUGCACCUUAGAAUUAUUGUGGCCAAGGAGGCUCUUCACAGUCAGCCAGAUUCCAGAAGAUACAGACUUCUUAU